UGGGGAAUAUUGCACAAUGGGCGAAAGCCUGAUGCAGCGACGCCGCGUGAGGGAUGACGGCCUUCGGGUUGUAAACCUCUUUCAGCAGGGAAGAAGCGAAAGUGACGGUACCUGCAGAAGAAGCGCCGGCUAACUACGUGCCAGCAGCCGCGGUAAUACGUAGGGCGCAAGCGUUGUCCGGAAUUAUUGGGCGUAAAGAGCUCGUAGGCGGUUAGUCGCGUCUGCUGUGAAAACUCGAGGCUCAACCUCGGGCUUGCAGUGGGUACGGGCUGGCUAGAGUGCGGUAGGGGUGACUGGAAUUCCUGGUGUAGCGGUGGAAUGCGCAGAUAUCAGGAGGAACACCGAUGGCGAAGGCAGGUCACUGGGCCGCAACUGACGCUGAGGAGCGAAAGCAUGGGGAGCGAACAGGAUUAGAUAGCCCUGGUAGUCCAUGCCGUAAACGUUGGGCACUAGGUGUGGGG
Molecule: ribosomal RNA, 461 nt
Filed under: uncultured bacterium
Lineage: Bacteria
Description: partial 16S ribosomal RNA
Rfam family: Bacterial small subunit ribosomal RNA
Source: RNAcentral